This 624-nucleotide ribosomal RNA is filed under the name Agromyces sp. So2Ps_1671. Its description in RNAcentral is "bacterial SSU rRNA". It matches the Rfam family "Bacterial small subunit ribosomal RNA", at positions 392 to 1017 of the family's 1533-position model. The record is from RNAcentral. Lineage: Bacteria; Bacillati; Actinomycetota; Actinomycetes; Micrococcales; Microbacteriaceae.
CAACGCCGCGUGCGGGAUGACGGCCUUCGGGUUGUAAACCGCUUUUAGUAAGGAAGAAGGGGAGCUUGCUCCUUGACGGUACUUGCAGAAAAAGGACCGGCUAACUACGUGCCAGCAGCCGCGGUAAUACGUAGGGUCCGAGCGUUGUCCGGAAUUAUUGGGCGUAAAGAGCUCGUAGGCGGUUUGUCGCGUCUGCUGUGAAAUCCCGAGGCUCAACCUCGGGUCUGCAGUGGGUACGGGCAGACUGGAGUGCGGUAGGGGAGAAUGGAAUUCCUGGUGUAGCGGUGGAAUGCGCAGAUAUCAGGAGGAACACCGAUGGCGAAGGCAGUUCUCUGGGCCGUAACUGACGCUGAGGAGCGAAAGCGUGGGGAGCGAACAGGAUUAGAUACCCUGGUAGUCCACGCCGUAAACGUUGGGCGCUAGAUGUGGGGACCUUUCCACGGUUUCCGUGUCGUAGCUAACGCAUUAAGCGCCCCGCCUGGGGAGUACGGCCGCAAGGCUAAAACUCAAAGGAAUUGACGGGGGCCCGCACAAGCGGCGGAGCAUGCGGAUUAAUUCGAUGCAACGCGAAGAACCUUACCAAGGCUUGACAUAUACGAGAACGCUGCAGAAAUGUAGAACUCU